GAUGAACGCUAGCGGCAGGCUUAACACAUGCAAGUCGAGGGGUAGAGGAAGCUUGCUUCCUUGAGACCGGCGCACGGGUGCGUAACGCGUAUACAAUCUACCUUUUACAGAGGGAUAGCCCCAGAGAAAUUUGGAUUAAUACCUCAUAGUAUUUUCGGAUCGCAUGAUUUGAUUAUUAAAGUUCCAACGGUAAAGAUGAGUAUGCGUCCCAUUAGCUAGAUGGUAAGGUAACGGCUUACCAUGGCAAUGAUGGGUAGGGGUCCUGAGAGGGAGAUCCCCCACACUGGUACUGAGACACGGACCAGACUCCUACGGGAGGCAGCAGUGAGGAAUAUUGGACAAUGGGCGCAAGCCUGAUCCAGCCAUGCCGCGUGCAGGAUGACGGUCCUAUGGAUUGUAAACUGCUUUUGUACAGGAAGAAACACUGGUUCGUGAACCAGCUUGACGGUACUGUAAGAAUAAGGAUCGGCUAACUCCGUGCCAGCAG
Molecule: ribosomal RNA, 487 nt
Filed under: uncultured bacterium
Lineage: Bacteria
Description: bacterial SSU rRNA
Rfam family: Bacterial small subunit ribosomal RNA
Source: RNAcentral